The sequence is a ribosomal RNA, 839 nucleotides long. The stretch from base 245 to 399 matches the Rfam family "5.8S ribosomal RNA".
UGCGGAAGGAUCAUUACCACACCUAAAAAACUUUCCACGUGAACCGUUUCAACCCAAUAGUUGGGGGUCUUAUUUGGCGGCGGCUGCUGGCUUAAUUGUUGGCGGCUGCUGCUGAGUGAGCCCUAUCAAAAAAAAGGCGAACGUUUGGGCUUCGGCCUGAUUUAGUAGUCUUUUUUCUUUUAAACCCAUUCCUUAAUACUGAAUAUACUGUGGGGACGAAAGUCUCUGCUUUUAACUAGAUAGCAACUUUCAGCAGUGGAUGUCUAGGCUCGCACAUCGAUGAAGAACGCUGCGAACUGCGAUACGUAAUGCGAAUUGCAGGAUUCAGUGAGUCAUCGAAAUUUUGAACGCAUAUUGCACUUCCGGGUUAGUCCUGGAAGUAUGCCUGUAUCAGUGUCCGUACAUUAAACUUGACUUUCUUCCUUCCGUGUAGUCGGUGGAGGAGAUGUCAGAUGUGAAGUGUCUUGCGAUUGGUCUUCGGACCGGCUGCGAGUCCUUUUAAAUGUACUAAACUGAACUUCUCUUUGCUCGAAAAGUGGUGGCGUUGCUGGUUGUGAAGGCUGCUAUUGUGGCAAAUUGGCGACUGGUUUGUCUGCUGCGGCGUUAAUGGAAGAGUGUUCGAUUCGUGGUAUGGUUGGCUUCGGCUGAACAAUGCACUUAUUGGACGUUUUUCCUGCUGUGGCGUGAUGGACUGGUGAACCAUAGCUCGGUGGCUUGGCUUUUGAAUUGGCUUUGCUGUUGCGAAGUAGGGUGGCAGCUUCGGUUGUCGAGGGUCGAUCCAUUUGGGAACUUAAUGUGUACUUCGGUAUGCAUCUCAAUUGGACCUGAUAUCAGGCAAG